Molecule: non-coding RNA, 327 nt
Filed under: Nitzschia palea
Lineage: Eukaryota; Bacillariophyta; Bacillariophyceae; Bacillariales; Bacillariaceae
Source: RNAcentral
UGGAGCUGAUGGGAUUUGAACCCACGUCCAUUUAAAAAUUCUUACUAUAGUCGUUCACAGGUAUAGUUUCAAUGAACAGAAUUAUUAAUAUAAAUUAUUCUAAACUAGAGUCGACGUAAACGUCUAGUACUAGUGAAAAAAUUUUUUGAGUUAUUCGUUUAAAUAGCAAAUUGUAACUGAUUUCUUCGGUUAAAUCCAAAAACAGUUAACAAUGAGAAAAGUAAAUUUUUAGCAGUUAUUUUAAAUUUGUAUUUUUUUACGAAGACUACAAACUUCGACCUGAUUCAUAUAGUAAUUAAAUUUAAAUGUCGAAACCAAAACAGCCCC